UACGUAGGGGGCUAGCGUUGUCCGGAAUCAUUGGGCGUAAAGAGCGUGUAGGCGGCCCGGUAAGUCCGCUGUGAAAGUCCAGGGCUCAACCCUGGAAAGCGGGUGGAUACUGCCGGGCUAGAAUCCGGAAGAGGCGAGUGGAAUUCCUGGUGUAGCGGUGGAAUGCGCAGAUAUCAGGAGGAACACCAAUAGCGAAGGCAGCUCGCUGGGACGGUAUUGACGCUGAGGCGCGAAAGCGUGGGGAGCAAACAGG
RNAcentral lists this ribosomal RNA (253 nucleotides) under uncultured bacterium. RNAcentral's name for it is "partial 16S ribosomal RNA". It matches the Rfam family "Bacterial small subunit ribosomal RNA", at positions 524 to 776 of the family's 1533-position model. The record is from RNAcentral.